Molecule: long non-coding RNA, 143 nt
Organism: Neltuma alba
Lineage: Eukaryota; Viridiplantae; Streptophyta; Magnoliopsida; Fabales; Fabaceae
Exons: 2
Source: RefSeq, a predicted model, not a curated record
UGAAGACGUGAUUAAAUUCAACCUGCCAUUGCAACUUAAGAAGAUCCUUUAGUUUUCUAGAGAUCAGCUCUCCAAGGUUGGUUAAAGGCGUCAUCAUGUGCUUUGCAGUUCCUCCAAUACCAUAUGAACCAGCAACAGGUAGC